UGCACAGUGUAGAGGGGUUUAUGUAAACCUCUCGACCAUAAGGGCCGGGCGUAGCCCGAGGGAGAUGUGUGGUUUACUGUCAUAAACACCAAGGCACUCUGAUAUAUGUCCCAUCUGAUUGGGCAUCCAGCCUAUAUAUAAGCUUGCAUGACUAACUACCACAAGCAACACAAGACAACUAGGAAAAGAUAGCUUGUCCACCACCAGGGCUCCUGUCUACACUCAAAGCCUUGCCCAGCCUGCAUGGACAGAAUAUGAGCAACCAGCCUCCAAGCGAACGCAACCAGCCAGAAGAAAACACGGCUCUAGACCCCAGCUUUCUUCUAUCCCAGGCUAGUAGGCGAGCAAAGGCCUAGUGCAGUGAGCAAGGCUCAGCCUGAGCCCUAGCCCUCUCCCAGUCAACUAAAGCAACUCCUCCUCUCCUUAAACAAGUGAAAUUGCCUCAUAUCCUUCUGUAAGCACAUGGCAGAAUGUUCAAUGAACUAGUCCACUGAAUACACCCAAACUCUAUGUUUUCAUUCAUGACAUUACAUUACGCAAGACAUUUCAUUUAUUUCAUUCCUCUUGAAAAACAACUUGUAAUUUCACCGCAUAAUUAUGCUUGAGGUGCCAAUUUAUGAGCCAUAUUUUC
This is a long non-coding RNA of Halichondria panicea, 631 nucleotides long. RefSeq lists it as uncharacterized. The record is from RefSeq and is a predicted model, not a curated record. Lineage: Eukaryota; Metazoa; Porifera; Demospongiae; Suberitida; Halichondriidae. The transcript has 3 exons.